RNAcentral lists this ribosomal RNA (407 nucleotides) under uncultured bacterium. RNAcentral's name for it is "partial 16S ribosomal RNA". It matches the Rfam family "Bacterial small subunit ribosomal RNA", at positions 30 to 526 of the family's 1533-position model. The record is from RNAcentral.
AUUGAACGCUGGCGGCAGGCCUAACACAUGCAAGUCGAGCGGAGCGGCGGACGGGUGAGUAAUGCCUAGGAAUCUGACUGGUAGUGGGGGAUAACGUCCGGAAACGGGCGCUAAUACCGCAAACUCUCAGCUGAGCAUAGGUCGGAUUAGCUAGUGGGUGGGGGAACGGCCCACCAAGGCGACGAUCCGUAACUGGUCUGAGAGGAGGAGCAGCCACACUGGAACUGAGACACGGUCCAGACUCCUACGGGAGGCAGCAGUGGGGAAUAUUGGACAAUGGGCGAAAGCCUGAUCCAGCCAUGCCGCGUGUGUGAAGAAGGUCUUCGGAUUGUAAAGCACUUUAAGUUGGGAGGCGUUACCAACAGAAUAAGCACCGGCUAACUUCGUGCCAGCAGCCGCGGUAAUUC